RNAcentral lists this non-coding RNA (31 nucleotides) under Mus musculus (house mouse). The record is from RNAcentral. Lineage: Eukaryota; Metazoa; Chordata; Mammalia; Rodentia; Muridae.
UGACAACAGUAACCUAAAGUUCAGUGUUCCC